GAUGAACGCUAGCGGCAGGCUUAAUACAUGCAAGUCGAGGGGCAGCAGGUCUGUAGCAAUACAGAUGCUGGCGACCGGCAAACGGGUGCGGAACACGUACACAACCUUCCUUUAAGUGGGGAAUAGCCCAGGGAAACUUGGAUUAAUACCCCGUAAAUUAAUGAAGUGGCAUCACUUUAUUAAUUAAAGACUCAGGCGCUUAA
Molecule: ribosomal RNA, 203 nt
Filed under: uncultured bacterium
Lineage: Bacteria
Description: partial 16S ribosomal RNA
Rfam family: Bacterial small subunit ribosomal RNA
Source: RNAcentral